This 481-nucleotide ribosomal RNA is filed under the name uncultured bacterium. Its description in RNAcentral is "partial 16S ribosomal RNA". It matches the Rfam family "Bacterial small subunit ribosomal RNA", at positions 28 to 507 of the family's 1533-position model. The record is from RNAcentral.
GAUGAACGCUGGCGGCGUGCUUAACACAUGCAAGUCGAACGAAACACCUUAUUUGAUUUUCUUCGGAACUGAAGAUUUGGUGAUUGAGUGGCGGACGGGUGAGUAACGCGUGGGUAACCUGCCCUGUACAGGGGGAUAACAGUCAGAAAUGACUGCUAAUACCGCAUAAGACCACAGCACCGCAUGGUGCAGGGGUAAAAACUCCGGUGGUACAGGAUGGACCCGCGUCUGAUUAGCUGGUUGGUGAGGUAACGGCUCACCAAGGCGACGAUCAGUAGCCGGCUUGAGAGAGUGAACGGCCACAUUGGGACUGAGACACGGCCCAAACUCCUACGGGAGGCAGCAGUGGGGAAUAUUGCACAAUGGGGGAAACCCUGAUGCAGCGACGCCGCGUGAGUGAAGGAGUAUUUCGGUAUGUAAAGCUCUAUCAGCAGGGAAGAAAAUGACGGUACCUGACUAAGAAGCCCCGGCUAACUACGUG